AGAGUUUUCCAGACAGAUCUUCAAAUUAAUGUGGUAGAGCCAGAAAAUACAGAGAGCGCAGCAAAUAUAAGGAAUCAAAUCCUAUUUAACCAGUAAGUUUGGAAAAUUGCUUUUUUGCACACCUUAAGAGCUGUGCUCUGAGGGAGGAAAGUUCCUUGCAUGAUACAACCAUCAAAAU
RNAcentral lists this long non-coding RNA (178 nucleotides) under Chrysemys picta bellii (western painted turtle). Its description in RNAcentral is "lncRNA (ENSCPBG00000013422.1)". The record is from RNAcentral. Lineage: Eukaryota; Metazoa; Chordata; Testudines; Emydidae.